CAGCCGCCGCGGUAAUACGGAGGGUGCAAGCGUUAAUCGGAAUUACUGGGCGUAAAGCGCACGCAGGCGGUCUGACAAGUCAGAUGUGAAAUCCCCGGGCUUAACCUGGGAACUGCAUUUGAAACUGUCAGGCUGGAGUCUUGUAGAGGGGGGUGGAAUUCCAGGUGUAGCGGUGAAAUGCGUAGAGAUCUGGAGGAAUACCGGUGGCGAAGGCGGCCCCCUGGACAAAGACUGACGCUCAGGUGCGAAAGCGUGGGGAGCAAACAGGAUUAGAGACCCGAGUAGUCCCUGUCUCUUAUAC
RNAcentral lists this ribosomal RNA (301 nucleotides) under uncultured bacterium. Its description in RNAcentral is "partial 16S ribosomal RNA". It matches the Rfam family "Bacterial small subunit ribosomal RNA", at positions 509 to 807 of the family's 1533-position model. The record is from RNAcentral.